ACUCUGAAUAAAAAAAUUCCUUUCAGAAGCCACAGACAAUUAGCUGUUGGCAUUGAUGAAGAUGUUGGUCAGAAAAGAGAUCAAUGCAGCUGCUUCUGUCAGCGAUAGAUGCAAGCAGAGCCCGUUCAACUUCUCUGGAAACCCUAGAACGAAGCAAGGAGAUGAUGUAUUGGAUGCACGGGGCAUCACAAUGGAGCAUGAUUGGACCGUCAUGCUGUAAUCCGAAUUCUUCUUCAGAGAUUUUGAGGAGCUCUCGGAAGAUGUUGGUGUUGAGGUAUUCAAUUGGUAUCAUGAAGCGCUCUCCGUCGAUUGUGUAGAUGAAGAGAUGUCCUUUGCUGGCAAUUGUGGUGGAACUGUGUCUGCAGAUAUGAUCAUCAUUAUCUGAUGAAUUUCCUCUUUUAGGUGAAGA
Molecule: unclassified non-coding RNA, 409 nt
Filed under: Hevea brasiliensis (rubber tree)
Lineage: Eukaryota; Viridiplantae; Streptophyta; Magnoliopsida; Malpighiales; Euphorbiaceae
Source: RNAcentral